CAAACUUGGCGGUGGUCGAGGUGCAAAGAAGCGAUAUAGCUGGACAGACCUCCCAGCAAUACGGGUCGGGGAAUGUUAGCGACGGUCACUCGGUGUAUACUGGCCUUGAACCGAUCACAAAUUCUGACAGGACGACUGACAUUGACAGGACAAAUUACAAUGAUGAGACAACUGACAUUGACAUUGAGAAAGAAAACAGAAAAGAAAGUAGUAACUGAUAUCACAUGUGCAAAUCAAAACUUAUAUCUUAUUAGUACAUAUUAGUUAAAAUCUUUACUGAAUUUGUAUCCUAAUCAUUACAUGCAGAAAAUCGAUUCCAUAAGACUGACACAGUGGACUUUACACGUGAAGAGGAUUAAAAUUUCUUAAAGCAUUCACACACCAACGCUGGGUUUGCUAAAGAAGAUCCGAAAACUCACAGAGGUCCAUAUCGUCAGCA
Long non-coding RNA from Aedes aegypti (yellow fever mosquito), 439 nucleotides. RefSeq lists it as uncharacterized. The transcript is spliced from 3 exons. NCBI's taxonomy places the organism in Eukaryota, Metazoa, Arthropoda, Insecta, Diptera, Culicidae. The record is from RefSeq and is a predicted model, not a curated record.